Molecule: ribosomal RNA, 254 nt
Filed under: uncultured bacterium
Lineage: Bacteria
Description: partial 16S ribosomal RNA
Rfam family: Bacterial small subunit ribosomal RNA
Source: RNAcentral
GACGUAGGGUCCAAGCGUUGUUCGGAUUUACUGGGCGUAAAGAGCGCGUAGGCGGUCUGUUAAGUGUCGAGUGAAAUCUCCAGGGCUCAACCCGGAAACUGCUCUGCAUACUGGCAGACUGGAGUGAUGCAGAGGUUUGUGGAAUUCCUGGUGUAACGGUGAAAUGUGUUGAUAUCAGGAGGAACACCCAUGGCGAAGGCAGCAAACUGGGCAUUAACUGACGCUGAGGCGCGAAAGCGUGGGUAGCAAACAGG